This 253-nucleotide ribosomal RNA is filed under the name uncultured prokaryote. RNAcentral describes it as "partial 16S ribosomal RNA". It matches the Rfam family "Bacterial small subunit ribosomal RNA", at positions 524 to 776 of the family's 1533-position model. The record is from RNAcentral.
UACAGAGGGUGCAAGCGUUAAUCGGAAUUACUGGGCGUAAAGCGUGCGUAGACGGUUACAUAAGUCGGGUGUGAAAGCCCCGGGCUCAACCUGGGAAUUGCAUUCGAGACUGCGUAGCUAGGGUGCGGAAGAGGGAAGCGGAAUUUCCGGUGUAGCGGUGAAAUGCGUAGAUAUCGGGAGGAACACCUGAGGCGAAGGCGGGCUACUGGGCCGAUACUGACGCUGAUGCGCGAAAGCCAGGGGAGCGAACGGG